Cotesia glomerata is the source of this 583-nucleotide long non-coding RNA. RefSeq lists it as uncharacterized. The record is from RefSeq and is a predicted model, not a curated record. NCBI's taxonomy places the organism in Eukaryota, Metazoa, Arthropoda, Insecta, Hymenoptera, Braconidae. The transcript has 3 exons.
CAUACAUUUACAUGAUACCAAGCUGGUAUAGACACUAGAGAUAUAGAGUAGAGUACAGAGCACAGAGCAGACUCGAUACCUACCAACUAUUGAGUAUAGUAGUAUAUAGUCACACAAUUUACAUUAGCUGAGUAGAAAGAAAACAAAUUACUCGACAGUGUAACUUAGGAAGACGACUCUUCUUCAAGGGCAAUAAUUGAAUGGAUUCAAUUGGAAUGAGACAAAAAAGGUGAUGCAUUGCGGCUCCGGGCUCCAGUACUGAACCUACGCCCAAAAGAUCUAACAGAAUCGAUAGGUGAGCACAGUCUACGGUCUAUAGACACACGGAAAAAUUCCUACCUAUACCAAUCCAACGUGAGAUGUGAGAGAAAUAAAUCUCUCGUAGAACUGAGGUGAGUAAAGGUGUUGCAGUUGCAAGAGCCACACAUCGACACCGAGUAUAACACACGUCUAUGAAAUAAUAGCCGAAGAUAAUGAGGAGUAUCAACAAAUAAGCAUCAUCUCAGUGUAGAAGCAUGCAUACAACUCUAACAACAAAGUAUAAGAGCAAUAUAAGUAAUGUUAAUCAAUAAUCGUUUAUCGU